AAAUCUCUUUAGUGAAUACUUUCGAUUGUCUACAUGCAACCCUGCGUUAUAAGAACCCCCCGGGCAAAGGCCUGUUAGGGACAUCUUUGGAAACAGGUGGGUCUGACGUCCUCGUCAUCCAAAUGUAGCUUUCCACUGUGGGCUGACCGAGGAAGCUGCCCUCUUACUGAAGAUGAGCUUGAAAAAGAUCAAGGAAAUGAAAAUAAAACAAAAAAAAAAAAAAAACAAAAAAAAACUUGCAAUUACACUCUUCCACCACUAGAUGCUAUACACGUAUAAGCAAGAUAAAAGUCCUCCGCCAUUUCUUUUCCCCAUCAGUGACCUCAGUGAUGAAUGGCCAACCAUAGCCUUGCUAUAUCCUGGGGUCUUGGAUAAUGUAGAAGAGUAAAAUCUAAGUCUUGCUUACAGAAUCUGAAGAAACUCUUCUGACUUCAAAGCUCAAUUCUGUGCCAUGGAAAUCAGAUAUACUAUAUCAUAUCUCAACUUAAGUGCAAAGGAGCAAACUCUGGCAAAACUUUAUGUAAAGGAAGAACUUUCUCCUCUUCUCUCCCCAUAUCAUCAUAGCAGCUACAUCCUACAAACACACAGCGGCUGUUAUCAGAAAUCAACUUGUGAAAGUCACCUCUACCCAUAGAUGAGGUUGUGAUGGUUUCAUCCAAAUGAUUUUAUGGCCUGUGAAGCAGUCAUUUGGAUCAAGGUUAACAAAUUCUUGGUAUCAGAGGUGCUACUGAGGACUCCACAUACCGAUACCAAUAAAUAAUGUCCAUACAACGAAGGUGGUGUUGGUUGAUACGGUUUGGAUCUGUGUCCCCACCCAAAUCGCAUGUUGAAUUGUAAUCCCCCAGUAUUG
RNAcentral lists this long non-coding RNA (850 nucleotides) under Homo sapiens (human). Its description in RNAcentral is "non-protein coding lnc-EIF3H-1:1". The record is from RNAcentral. Lineage: Eukaryota; Metazoa; Chordata; Mammalia; Primates; Hominidae.